This 253-nucleotide ribosomal RNA is filed under the name uncultured bacterium. RNAcentral describes it as "partial 16S ribosomal RNA". It matches the Rfam family "Bacterial small subunit ribosomal RNA", at positions 524 to 776 of the family's 1533-position model. The record is from RNAcentral.
UACGGAGGGGGCUAGCGUUGUUCGGAAUUACUGGGCGUAAAGCGUACGUAGGCGGCUCUGUAAGUUAGAGGUGAAAGCCCGGGGCUCAACUCCGGAAUUGCCUUUAAGACUGCAUCGCUUGAAUCAUGGAGAGGUGAGUGGAAUUCCGAGUGUAGAGGUGAAAUUCGUAGAUAUUCGGAAGAACACCAGUGGCGAAGGCGACUCACUGGACAUGUAUUGACGCUGAGGUACGAAAGCGUGGGGAGCAAACAGG